UUUGACUCAAGUAAGUAAAAACAACCAAAACUUUUACUCAUAUCAAUUGUCAUUACAUUGAUCUUAAAAAGACCCUCCGUAAGGUAACCUUAAACUACAUACACUUCACCCUUAUUUAUUAUAACAUUUUCAUAAGUAAAUACAUAUUUGAAUCCAUUAUUUGUCAGAAGUAAAGUAGAAACUAAGUUUUUUUGCAACUAUGGAACAAUGAAGGACAUUGCUUAGUGUCACCACCUUAACCGAUGACAUUUUCGAGAAAAUAUUGCUUGUUCCUUCAACCUUUUCCAUAGCAAAGUUUGCCAUGAGUAUCUUCUCAUCAUCUUGAGCUAGAGCAUAUAAUUCAAAUAGUUCUUUGUUGGCAUACACAUGGUGGGUGUCAACCAAAUCCACUUAUUAUCCUCUAGGAUUACCAACUAAAUGAUAUUAUAAGAGCAUGAAAUAAAGAUUGUCCAUUUGUUCUUUUGAUUCAACCAUGUUUGCUUGAUCCUUUUUCUUCUCCUUUUUUAUAGCCCAAUAAUCAGUAGACUUGUGGCCAAAUUUUUCAUAAUUUAAGUAAUUUUCUUUGAUUUUCUUCUUAGGAGGAUAGUCUUU
Molecule: long non-coding RNA, 591 nt
Filed under: Capsicum annuum
Lineage: Eukaryota; Viridiplantae; Streptophyta; Magnoliopsida; Solanales; Solanaceae
Description: long non-coding RNA (CANN_LNC021971)
Source: RNAcentral